GUUGAACGCUGGCGGCAGGCCUAACACAUGCAAGUCGAACGGUAACAGGAAACAGCUUGCUGUUUCGCUGACGAGUGGCGGGCGGGUGAGUAAUGUCUGGGAAACUGCCUGAUGGAGGGGGAUAACUACUGGAAACGGUAGCUAAUACCGCAUAACGUCGCAAGACCAAAGAGGGGGACCUUCGGGCCGCUUGCCAUCGGAUGUGCCCAGAUGGGAUUAGCUAGUAGGUGGGGUAACGGCUCACCUAGGCGACGAUCCGUAGCUGGUCUGAGAGGAUGACCGGCCACACUGGAACUGAGACACGGUCCAGACUCCUACGGGAGGCAGCAGUGGGGAAUAUUGCACAAUGGGCGCAAGCCUGAUGCAGCCAUGCCGCGUGUAUGAAGAAGGCCUUCGGGUUGUAAAGUACUUUCAGCGGGGAGGAAGGGAGUAAAGUUAAUACCUUUGCUCAUUGACGUUACCCGCAGAAGAAGCACCGGCUAACUCCGUG
RNAcentral lists this ribosomal RNA (490 nucleotides) under uncultured bacterium. Its description in RNAcentral is "partial 16S ribosomal RNA". It matches the Rfam family "Bacterial small subunit ribosomal RNA", at positions 28 to 507 of the family's 1533-position model. The record is from RNAcentral.